GAGGGUAACAGCUCAGUGGUAGAGCACGUGCUUAGCAUGUAUGUGGUCCUGAGUUCAAUCCCCAGUACCUCCA
This 73-nucleotide transfer RNA is filed under the name Camelus bactrianus (Bactrian camel). It matches the Rfam family "tRNA". Rfam says of the family: Transfer RNA (tRNA) molecules are approximately 80 nucleotides in length. Their secondary structure includes four short double-helical elements and three loops (D, anti-codon, and T loops). Further hydrogen bonds mediate the characteristic L-shaped molecular structure. tRNAs have two regions of fundamental functional importance: the anti-codon, which is responsible for specific mRNA codon recognition, and the 3' end, to which the tRNAs corresponding amino acid is attached (by aminoacyl-tRNA synthetases). tRNAs cope with the degeneracy of the genetic code in two manners: having more than one tRNA (with a specific anti-codon) for a particular amino acid; and 'wobble' base-pairing, i.e. permitting non-standard base-pairing at the 3rd anti-codon position. The record is from Rfam by way of RNAcentral. Lineage: Eukaryota; Metazoa; Chordata; Mammalia; Artiodactyla; Camelidae. RNAcentral also lists the same sequence under 2 other names.